RNAcentral lists this ribosomal RNA (460 nucleotides) under uncultured bacterium. Its description in RNAcentral is "partial 16S ribosomal RNA". It matches the Rfam family "Bacterial small subunit ribosomal RNA", at positions 338 to 795 of the family's 1533-position model. The record is from RNAcentral.
CCUACGGGCGGCAGCAGUGAGGAAUAUUGGUCAAUGGGCGCUAGCCUGAACCAGCCAAGUAGCGUGAAGGAUGACUGCCCUAUGGGUUGUAAACUGCUUUUAUACGGGAAUAAAGUGCAUUACGUAUACUGCUUUGCAUGUACCUUAUGAAUAAGGACCGGCUAAUUCCGUGCCAGCAGCCGCGGUAAUACGGAGGAUCCGGGCGUUAUCCGGAUUUAUUGGGUUUAAAGGGAGCGUAGGCGGUAUGUUAAGUCAGUUGUGAAAGUUUGCGGCUCAACCGUGGAAUUGCAGUUGAAACUGGCGUGCUUGAGUACAGUAGAGGUAGGCGGAAUUCGUAGUGUAGCGGUGAAAUGCUUAGAUAUCACGAAGAACCCCGAUUGCGAAGGCAGCCUGCUGGACUGUAACUGACGCUGAUGCUCGAAAGCGUGGGUAUCAAACAGGAUUAGAUACCCGUGUAGUC